RNAcentral lists this long non-coding RNA (1279 nucleotides) under Phascolarctos cinereus (koala). Its description in RNAcentral is "lncRNA (ENSPCIG00000009043.2)". The record is from RNAcentral. Lineage: Eukaryota; Metazoa; Chordata; Mammalia; Diprotodontia; Phascolarctidae.
CAAAACCAUAACGGAGGCAGUAAAAGGGGCGACAAUUUGUUGGACAUGUGAACAUUCUGAUACCAGUGCUUCUGACAUCAGGAACAGAAAAUGGCUUUUCUGAUCAAGACCUUUUCUCCUUGUAGGAAGGUAUCUGUGGUAGAGCUCAGUGGAGCUACUCACAGGGAUAGCAUCUUUCCCCAACCCAGAGGUGAAGAAGAAAGGGAAUGUUUCUGAGAAGCGGCUUGGAGAGCUGGCUGGCUCCAGGGAUGAAAAGUGCCAUCCUGGAAGUGUUUGGAGGCCUGCUGCUUCUUCUUCUCUUCACUGCUAUGAAUAAUGGGGACAGCCGGAAUCUUUCACAGGACAGAAAAACCUGCCUGGCCCCACUCCUGCACCGUCUGCAGACACAGACUACAAGCCAUACUUCUGGGAGAGGUGAUGGGUCUUUGAUGAAUCGUCCAUACUCUCUCACCCAGUCUGUGCCUGAUGGGGACCUGGUCCAGCCAUCCCACCCUGGGACAAAUACCCUGCAGUGAAGCGAUGUCCCUAAUGCUGAGAGAGCCCCCUUUGUAUCCCCAGAAACUAUAGUAGGGCACACAGUAGGGGUUUCACAAAUGCCUGUUGAAUCAUUCUGUUCUCUCUUCUUAAACCUUCUUAACCACCUCAGCAUCCUUCUGCCUUCUUAUUGAAGCUAGGCCACUCACAACAGCAAUGGCCCCCAAGCUUUCGUUUCUAGCUGGAUGCAGCUCAGACAUAAAUUAUCCUCACCGGAAUUUGGACCGACAUUUAUUGAGCACAUCUUAUGUGCAGAGCACAUCUCCAGGUACCAGGGACCACCAGGAGCAAGAGGAUGGGAGAAGCAGCAGCCUGAUGCAAUGAGAAACUUCCCGAUAAUUGGUCAUUCAAAAAUAGAACCGGUUGCCUUGGGAGGUAGUGAGGGCCCAACAAGGAAGGUCUUCAAACAACAUAUGGAUAAACAUAUGUUGGUAAUAGCAUAGGGGAUGCUUGUUCAAGUGGGUGGUGGAUUCAUGAGGUUCCUCUGAGGUCCUUUCCAGCACAGAUUCUGGGAUUUCUGGGGGUUGUAAGUACAAUAACCUUCUCCUCAAGAUCAUUUUGCUGAGGUCUUCCUUGCAGUCAGAUGGUUCGUCCCAAUCUCCCCUUCUCCCAAGUGCCCAGAGUUUGCUACCAACCUGGUGCACAUUGGGACAGUUUCUUCUUGCUUCCUAUGCUUCUCCUCCUCCUCCCUUCUUUACCUUCUCCUCCACAACUUCCUUCUCUUCUUCCUCUUUCCCUCCUCCUU